GGAUUCCCCUAGUAACUGCGAGUGAAGCGGGAAAAGCUCAAAUUUAAAAUCUGCCAUCAGGCCGAAUUGUAAUCUAGAGAAGUGUUUUCGGUCGUCAUCUCGGACAAGUCCCUUGGAACAGGGCGUCAUAGAGGGUGAGAAUCCCGUACUUGCCGAGUUACUGAUGUCUAUGUGAUACGCUCUCGAAGAGUCGAGUUGUUUGGGAAUGCAGCUCAAAAUGGGUGGUAAAUUCCAUCUAAAGCUAAAUAUUGGUGGGAGACCGAUAGCGAACAAGUACCGUGAGGGAAAGAUGAAAAGCACUUUGGAAAGAGAGUUAAACAGUACGUGAAAUUGUUGAAAGGGAAGCGCUUGAAGUUAGUCGCGUUUUCGGGGACUCAGCCGUCAAGGUGUAUUUCCUCGUGAACGGGCCAGCAUCAGUUUCAGACGUAGGAAAAGGAUUUGGGGAAUGUGGCAACUCCGGUUGUGUUAUAGCCUCUUGUCGUAUGCUACGUUUGGGACUGAGGACUGCCAUCUGUAGGAUGCUGGCGUAAUAGCUUUAAGCGACCCGUCUUGAAACACGGACCAAGGAGUCUAACAUGUCUGCGAGUGUUUGGGUGUUAAACCCAUGCGCGCAAUGAAAGUGAACGUAGGUGGGAGGCCUCGGCCGCACCAUCGACCGAUCCGGAUCUUUAGUGAUGGAUUUGAGUAAGAGCAUAUAUGUUGGGACCCGAAAGAUGGUGAACUAUGCCUGAAUAGGGCGAAGCCAGAGGAAACUCUGGUGGAGGCUCGUAGCGAUUCUGACGUGCAAAUCGAUCGUCAAAUUUGGGUAUAGGGGCGAAAGACUAAU
Molecule: ribosomal RNA, 826 nt
Filed under: Dacrymyces novae-zelandiae
Lineage: Eukaryota; Fungi; Basidiomycota; Dacrymycetes; Dacrymycetales; Dacrymycetaceae
Description: eukaryotic LSU rRNA
Rfam family: Eukaryotic large subunit ribosomal RNA
Source: RNAcentral